RNAcentral lists this long non-coding RNA (226 nucleotides) under Capsicum annuum. Its description in RNAcentral is "long non-coding RNA (CANN_LNC019353)". The record is from RNAcentral. Lineage: Eukaryota; Viridiplantae; Streptophyta; Magnoliopsida; Solanales; Solanaceae.
ACAAAGAGAUCAACGAUCUCGAAAGUCCCAAUAAAUUCAUGGGAUAUUCAUAUAGGGAUCAAAACCUCUCUUCUUGAUAAUUAAAUACAUCAAGAAGAUCCACAAGCCCUCCUGUCAUGGAGAUCAAAUCCAAAUGUUCCUAAGUUUGAGAAAUACGCCACUAACGGCCCUCGAAUUACGGAGAAAUUCAUAUCAAAUUCAAAUAUGCCUACGUUCGAGAAAUACG